This 77-nucleotide transfer RNA is filed under the name Pseudomonadota bacterium. RNAcentral describes it as "tRNA-His". It matches the Rfam family "tRNA". From Rfam's summary of the family: Transfer RNA (tRNA) molecules are approximately 80 nucleotides in length. Their secondary structure includes four short double-helical elements and three loops (D, anti-codon, and T loops). RNAcentral also lists the same sequence under 1 other name. Lineage: Bacteria; Pseudomonadati; Pseudomonadota. The record is from RNAcentral.
GAGGGUGUAGCUCAAGUGGUCAGAGCGUUGGGCUGUGGCCCCAAAGGCUGUGGGUUCGAGUCCCAUCACCCUCCCCA